GACGAACGCUGGCGGCGUGCUUAACACAUGCAAGUCGAACGUGAUUUUUGUGGAAAUUCUUUCGGGAAUGGAAAUGAAAUGAAAGUGGCGAACGGGUGAGUAACACGUGAGCAACCUACCUUACACAGGGGGAUAGCCGUUGGAAACGACGAUUAAUACCGCAUGAGACCACAGAAUCGCAUGAUAUAGGGGUCAAAGAUUUAUCGGUGUAAGAAGGGCUCGCGUCUGAUUAGCUAGUUGGAAGGGUAAAGGCCUACCAAGGCGACGAUCAGUAGCCGGUCUGAGAGGAUGAACGGCCACAUUGGAACUGAGACACGGUCCAAACUCCUACGGGAGGCAGCAGUGGGGAAUAUUGCACAAUGGGGGGAACCCUGAUGCAGCGACGCCGCGUGAGCGAAGAAGGUUUUCGAAUCGUAAAGCUCUGUCCUAUGAGAAGAUAAUGACGGUAUCAUAGGAGGAAGCCCGG
This 466-nucleotide ribosomal RNA is filed under the name Parvimonas micra. RNAcentral describes it as "bacterial SSU rRNA". It matches the Rfam family "Bacterial small subunit ribosomal RNA", at positions 28 to 495 of the family's 1533-position model. The record is from RNAcentral. Lineage: Bacteria; Bacillati; Bacillota; Tissierellia; Tissierellales; Peptoniphilaceae.